GUUAAACCCUAGAGCCUUAAAAUAGGGUAUAUGACUUCUUCCCCGAAGCCUCCCUCUCGGCUCUUCUCGUUGUUUGCAGACUUUUCCAGUUUUGACGCAUCAUAGAAACCAAAUCCCCCAAAAAUCCAGCUUCGUCUCCCAAAGAACCCUACCAUUCGAGCCUGCCAAUCUUCCUCUAUUAAAAAUCAGUUCAGUAAUGGAUGAUUCAAACGAUCAGAAAUACUACAAGUAUCACCCAUAUCAGGAUCUCUACAACGUCCCUGCUCACAACCUAUAUAAAUUGCCCUCUUCUCCUGAGUUCCUUUUUCAUGAAGAAGCUGCACAUCAGCGCCGCAGCUGGAGUGAAAACCUUCAAUACUAUACCGGAACGGGCUACUUAUCCGGAGCGAUUAUCGGUGGGGCUAAGGGUUCUUUGGAUGGCAUACGCUCCGCCGAGCCUGGUGACACCAUGAAAUUGCGGGUCAAUAGGAUUCUCAACUCAGGUGGACACGUGGGUCGGAAGUUUGGGAACAAUUUGGGUGUUUUGGGGCUGAUGUUUGCUGGCCUUGAGAGUGCUUUGAUUCACUAUAGAGAUACUGACGAUUUGGUCAAUACGGCUCUCGCGGGGCUCGGGACUGGGGCGAUUUAUCGUGCGGCUAGGGGGCCGAGAUCGGCGGCUAUAGCAGGAGCCAUUGGAGGGAUCGCGGCGGCUACUGCUGUUGCGGGAAAGCAGGUUGUUAAGAGAUACGUGCCCAUAUAAAAAAAUUUGAAAUUUUGAAAAUUUUUGUUUUGGGGGCUCUAUUUGGAGGGGCUGUGUUUAGGCAGAUAUGGGAUUAGCGGGUUUUCUUGGGUGGCAAAGUUAGAUUAUUUGAUUUAAAGGAUUCUGGUAUAAUAUGGAUCGUUACUUGUAACGAUUACUGUUGUUUCACAAUCCAAUUUGCCGACUUAGCAUUUCUUGAUGUCCUGUUUGAUAAUUGAUAGGAAUUUUGGGCUUUUCCAUUUUUUGAAUUGUUGGUUUACGAGAAGGCAUGAACAGUUUCAUGCGAUUAAAAAUUUAUGUAUUAUCGUGUUGUUAUAUUUUUGCAUUGAAUUUGGUAGAAAAUGGGAUUAUUGCCGGUGAUUAUUAUUCUUAUUGCAUAAUCUCAUGGUCUUUCCUGGCCAACAUGUUCCUGUUUGAUGGGAAUUUUGAUUUGUUGGUUGAACUUCUAUAAUUUUGUAUAUAUAUGGUGCCG
This 1211-nucleotide unclassified non-coding RNA is filed under the name Hevea brasiliensis (rubber tree). The record is from RNAcentral. Lineage: Eukaryota; Viridiplantae; Streptophyta; Magnoliopsida; Malpighiales; Euphorbiaceae.